RNAcentral lists this long non-coding RNA (250 nucleotides) under Monodelphis domestica (gray short-tailed opossum). Its description in RNAcentral is "lncRNA (ENSMODG00000047323.1)". The record is from RNAcentral. Lineage: Eukaryota; Metazoa; Chordata; Mammalia; Didelphimorphia; Didelphidae.
UCUGACAUAUAAAUACUUGUUUCCUCCCUUUUUAGCAACUGAGGGGACAAUGAAAAUUUUCUUUUGAAGUUGGGAUUUGAGCUGAAUCUUGAAAGAAUCCAAGGAAACUAAGAAAUGAAUUUAAGGAGAGAAAUACCCUGGACAACUGGAGCAAAGGUUCAGAGCUUUAUCCAAUGUUCUGCCAGUUAUACUUAGAGGAGAGGGGAAUUUGACUCAGUGACCACUGGGGUAAGUCCCUCCUAUCCCUAAA